RNAcentral lists this ribosomal RNA (253 nucleotides) under uncultured bacterium. RNAcentral describes it as "partial 16S ribosomal RNA". It matches the Rfam family "Bacterial small subunit ribosomal RNA", at positions 524 to 776 of the family's 1533-position model. The record is from RNAcentral.
UACGUAGGGGGCUAGCGUUGCUCGGAAUCACUGGGCGUAAAGGGUGCGUAGGCGGGUCUUUAAGUCAGGGGUGAAAUCCUGGAGCUCAACUCCAGAACUGCCUUUGAUACUGAAAGUCUUGAGUACGGGAGAGGUGAGUGGAACUGCGAGUGUAGAGGUGAAAUUCGUAGAUAUUCGCAAGAACACCAGUGGCGAAGGCGGCUCACUGGCCCGUAACUGACGCUGAGGCACGAAAGCGUGGGGAGCAAACAGG